RNAcentral lists this ribosomal RNA (253 nucleotides) under uncultured bacterium. RNAcentral describes it as "partial 16S ribosomal RNA". It matches the Rfam family "Bacterial small subunit ribosomal RNA", at positions 524 to 776 of the family's 1533-position model. The record is from RNAcentral.
UACGUAGGGUGCGAGCGUUAGUCGGAAUUACUGGGCGUAAAGGGCGCGUAGGCGGGAUGGCAAGUCGGUCGUGAAAUCCCUCGGCUCAACCGAGGAACGUCGAUCGAUACUGCUGUUCUUGAGGAUUGCAGAGGAGGCUGGAAUUCCCGGUGUAGCGGUGAAAUGUGUAGAGAUCGGGAGGAACACCGGUGGCGAAGGCGGGUCUCUGGGCAAUUCCUGACGCUGAGGCGCGAAAGCGUGGGGAGCAAACGGG